This 253-nucleotide ribosomal RNA is filed under the name uncultured bacterium. Its description in RNAcentral is "partial 16S ribosomal RNA". It matches the Rfam family "Bacterial small subunit ribosomal RNA", at positions 524 to 776 of the family's 1533-position model. RNAcentral also lists the same sequence under 1 other name. The record is from RNAcentral.
AACGUAGGAGGCGAGCGUUAUCCGGAUUUACUGGGUGUAAAGCGCGUGCAGGCGGUCAGGAAAGUUGGAUGUAAAAGCUCCCGGCUCAACUGGGAGAGGUCGUUCAAAACUUCUUGACUAGAGGCAGGUAGAGGGAGGCGGAAUUCCGGGUGUAGUGGUGAAAUGCGUAGAUAUCCGGAGGAACACCAGUGGCGAAAGCGGCCUCCUGGUCCUGAACUGACGCUCAGACGCGAAAGCUAGGGUAGCAAACGGG